Molecule: ribosomal RNA, 1541 nt
Filed under: metagenome
Description: bacterial SSU rRNA
Rfam family: Bacterial small subunit ribosomal RNA
Source: RNAcentral
AGAGUUUGAUUCUGGCUCAGAACGAACGCUGGCAGCGUGGAUUAGGCAUGCAAGUCGAACGGGAUUCCUUGGAUUCAAUCUUUCGGGAGAGAAACCUUGGAUGAGAGUGGCGAAAGGGUGAGUAACGCGUGGGUAACCUGCCCCUGAGUUGGGGACAACUUCCCGAAAGGGGAGCUAAUACCGAAUAUGGUGGUCUUCCAGAUGGAAGGUUAACUGAAGGUGGGGAGUUCGUUUCGGCGAACCCUAUCGCUCGGGGAGGGGCCCGCGUCCCAUCAGUUUGUUGGUGAGGUAAUGGCUCACCAAGGCUUACGGGUAGCUGGUCUGAGAGGAUGGUCAGCCACACUGGGACUGAGACACUGCCCAGACUCCUACGGGAGGCUGCAGUCGAGGAUCAUUCACAAUGCGCGAAAGCGUGAUGAUGCGACGCUGCGUGGAGGAUGAAGGCUUUCGGGUUGUAAACUCCUGUCAUUCGGGAAAAAGUGUCAUGCGGCGAAUACCCGCAUGACUUGAUGUUACCGAAAGAGGAAGCCACGGCUAACUCUGUGCCAGCAGCCGCGGUAAUACAGAGGUGGCGAGCGUUGUUCGGAUUUACUGGGCGUAAAGGGUACGUAGGCGGCCCUGCAUGUCGGAUGUGAAAGCCCACCGCCCAACGGUGGAACUGCAUUCGAAACUGCAGGGCUAGAGUACAGGAUGGGAGAGCGGAAUUCUAGGUGUAGCGGUGAAAUGCGUUGAUAUCUAGAAGAACACCGGUGGCGAAGGCGGCUCUCUGGAAUGUUACUGACGCUGAAGUACGAAAGCUGGGGGAGCAAACAGGUUUAGAUACCCUGGUAGUCCCAGCUGUAAACGGUGUGCACUUGGAGUGGGGAGUAUUGACCCUCUCCGUGCCGGAGCUAACGCGUUAAGUGCACCGCCUGGGGAGUACGGUCGCAAGAUUAAAACUCAAAGAAAUUGACGGGGGCCCGCACAAGCGGAGGAGCAUGUGGCUUAAUUCGAUGCAACGCGAAGAACCUUACCAGGGCUUGACAUGGCGACCCUUCGGGGGUGGGAGUGAAAGUUCCCUUUACGAUCACAGGUGCUGCAUGGCUGUCGGCAGUUCGUGCCGUGAGGUGUUGGGUUAAGUCCCGCAACGAACGCAACCCUUGUGUCUAGUUGCCACCGCAGGUGAUGAGCCUGCGAGCACUCUAGACAGACUGCCCGUACAAGCGGGAGGAAGGUGGGGACGACGUCAAGUCAGUAUGGCCCUUACGCCCUGGGCUGCACACGUGCUACAAUGGUCAGUACAGAAGGAGGCAAUACCGCGAGGUUGAGCAAAUCCCCAAAACUGGCCCCAGUUCGGAUUGGAGUCUGCAACUCGACUCCAUGAAGUUGGAUUCGCUAGUAACGGCGUAUCAGCUACGGCGCCGUGAAUACGUUCCCGGGCCUUGUACACACCGCCCGUCACAUCAUGAAAGCCGUCUGCACCCGAAGUCGCUGAGCCAACCUUUCGAGGGGGCAAGUGCCGAAGGUGCGGGUGGUGAUUGGGAUGAAGUCGUAACAAGGUA